RNAcentral lists this unclassified non-coding RNA (216 nucleotides) under Hevea brasiliensis (rubber tree). Lineage: Eukaryota; Viridiplantae; Streptophyta; Magnoliopsida; Malpighiales; Euphorbiaceae. The record is from RNAcentral.
AUUCAGAUCGAAAGGUAAGGGCUUUCUGCCGUACAAGGACGAGGAUGAUGCAAUUUCUCUAUCGUCAACCACCGAUGAAGAUGAAUCACAAUCGCUGUGACAAUCCUCAGGUACCAUCGGUGGUGUCCGGUGAUGGUUUUUCCUGGGCGCUGUCGCUGACAACAGAAGCCCAGACUUUUUUGUUGCCGUAGUUGUUUGCUGAGGAGGCGGCCUGGG